GGGGGUGAAAGGACUCGACAUGUUCUUGUGACGAGAGAGCAGCAUGCAGAGGUUGUCAGGAGGCCUCUUUAAACACCUGGCAAACAAUAAACGCAAACUACGAUCCAGUAGCCGAAGCCGAGAACAUCCUGGCUUUGGAUGCGUUGAAUGUCUCUGCUUUAGCAGGGGCGAGUCCUUUAGUAAGUGCCUUGGGAUACUAAUAGGGCUAAAAUUACGCAAGGUCUCUUGAGGUAAUAUCUCCUAACCUCAAGCAGUAUCAGGAGGAUGCUCCCGGGAAACAUCCUGUUUAUCGGAUCUCCCGGGAAAAGAUUAAAGAUGGACUAAGCAUGUAGAUACUCUCUGGUUCGGGUUCAUGGACCCGGGUUCGAAUCCCGGCACCUCCACCA
Molecule: transfer-messenger RNA, 386 nt
Filed under: Candidatus Makaraimicrobium thalassicum
Lineage: Bacteria; Pseudomonadati; Candidatus Omnitrophota
Description: Makaraimicrobium thalassicum Standard tmRNA
Rfam family: transfer-messenger RNA
About the family: Bacterial tmRNA, also known as 10Sa RNA or SsrA, is named for its dual tRNA and mRNA-like properties. Its role is to liberate the mRNA from a stalled ribosome. To accomplish this part of the tmRNA is used as a reading frame that ends in a translation stop signal.
Source: RNAcentral